UACAGGUGCUGCAUGGCUGUCGUCAGCUCGUGCUGUGAAGUGUGGGUUAAGUCCGCAACGAGCGCAACCCCUGCUGUCUGUUGCCACCACGAGAGGUGGGGACUCAGGCGGAACUGCCGGUGCAAACCGGAGGAAGGUGGGGACGACGUCAAGUCAUCAUGGCCCUUAUGUCCUGGGCUACACACGUGCUACAAUGGCCGGUACAGAGCGCAGCGAGGCCGCGAGGCGGAGCGAAUCGCUUAAAGCCGGUCCCAGUACGGAUUGGAGUCUGCAACCCGACUCCAUGAAGUUGGAAUCGCUAGUAAUCGCGCAUCAGCAUGGCGCGGUGAAUACGUUCCCGGGCCUU
This 346-nucleotide ribosomal RNA is filed under the name uncultured Spirochaeta sp. RNAcentral describes it as "bacterial SSU rRNA". It matches the Rfam family "Bacterial small subunit ribosomal RNA", at positions 1033 to 1382 of the family's 1533-position model. Lineage: Bacteria; Pseudomonadati; Spirochaetota; Spirochaetia; Spirochaetales; Spirochaetaceae. The record is from RNAcentral.